CUGAACCAGCCAAGUAGCGUGAAGGAUGACUGCAACAUGGGUUGUAAACUUGUUUUAUAAAGGAAUAAAGUCGGGUAUGCAUACAAUUUUGCAUGUACUUUAUGAAUAAGGAUCGGCUAACUCCGUGCCAGCAGCCGCGGUAAUACGGAGGAUCCGAGCGUUAUCCGGAUUUAUUGGGUUUAAAGGGAGCGUAGAUGGAUGUUUAAGUCAGUUGUGAAAGUUUGCGG
RNAcentral lists this ribosomal RNA (227 nucleotides) under uncultured Bacteroidaceae bacterium. RNAcentral describes it as "partial 16S ribosomal RNA". It matches the Rfam family "Bacterial small subunit ribosomal RNA", at positions 383 to 607 of the family's 1533-position model. Lineage: Bacteria; Pseudomonadati; Bacteroidota; Bacteroidia; Bacteroidales; Bacteroidaceae. The record is from RNAcentral.